GCCAGUCGUGGUGGUGCACAUCUGUAAUCCCAACAACUCAGGAGGCUGAGGCAGGAGGAUGGCAAGUUCAAAGCCAGCCUCAGCAACUUAGCGAGGCCUUGAGCAACUCAGCAAGACCGUGUCUCUA
This 127-nucleotide small RNA is filed under the name Marmota monax (woodchuck). The record is from RNAcentral. Lineage: Eukaryota; Metazoa; Chordata; Mammalia; Rodentia; Sciuridae.